This 375-nucleotide ribosomal RNA is filed under the name uncultured bacterium. Its description in RNAcentral is "bacterial SSU rRNA". It matches the Rfam family "Bacterial small subunit ribosomal RNA", at positions 523 to 897 of the family's 1533-position model. The record is from RNAcentral.
AUACGUAGGGAGCAAGCGUUGUCCGGAUUUACUGGGUGUAAAGGGUGCGUAGGCGGCUCUGCAAGUCAGGCGUGAAAACCAUGGGCUUAACCCAUGGACUGCGUUUGAAACUGUGGAGCUUGAGUGAAGUAGAGGUGGGCGGAAUUCCCGGUGGAGCGGGGAAAUGCGUAGAGAUCGGGGGGAACACCAGUGGAGAAGGCGGCUUACUGGGCUUUAACUGACGCUGAGGCACGAAAGCAUGGGUAGCAAACAGGAUUAGAUACCCGGGUAGUCCAUGCCGUAAACGAUGAUUACUAGGUGUGGGGGGUCUGACCCCUUCCGUGCCGGAGUUAACACAAUAAGUAAUCCACCUGGGGAGUACGGCCGCAAGGUUGA